UAUGAGGUGGUCGAAUUAGUAGUCGGUAGAUUGUAAAUCUAUUUAUAAGUAAAUACUUUCUCAUGG
RNAcentral lists this transfer RNA (66 nucleotides) under Bolitaena pygmaea. RNAcentral's name for it is "tRNA-Tyr". The record is from RNAcentral. Lineage: Eukaryota; Metazoa; Mollusca; Cephalopoda; Octopoda; Bolitaenidae.